Molecule: ribosomal RNA, 495 nt
Filed under: uncultured bacterium
Lineage: Bacteria
Description: partial 16S ribosomal RNA
Rfam family: Bacterial small subunit ribosomal RNA
Source: RNAcentral
GACGAACGCUGGCGGCGUGCCUAAUACAUGCAAGUAGAACGCUGAAGGAGGAGCUUGCUUCUCUGGAUGAGUUGCGAACGGGUGAGUAACGCGUAGGUAACCUGCCUGGUAGCGGGGGAUAACUAUUGGAAACGAUAGCUAAUACCGCAUAAUAGUAGAUGUUGCAUGACAUUUGCUUAAAAGGUGCAAUUGCAUCACUACCAGAUGGACCUGCGUUGUAUUAGCUAGUUGGUGGGGUAACGGCUCACCAAGGCGACGAUACAUAGCCGACCUGAGAGGGGGGUCGGCCGCACUGAGACGGAGACACGGCCCAGACUGCUACAGGAAGGAGCAGUAGGGAUACGGCGGCCAUGGACGGAAGUCUGACCGAGCAACGCCGCGUGAGUGAAGAGGGUUUUCGGGUCGUAGAGCUCUGUUGUAAGGGAAGAACGAGCGUGAGAGUGGAAAGUUCCCUCUGUGACGGUAUCUUACCAGAAAGCGACGGCUAACUACGUG